GCGGCGGCCACCGUCUCCCGCCAGUUGAGCAGCACGUCGACGGCGACGUAGUGCGUGACGGCCCCGACGAGCACGAGCACGUGGAAGAUCUGGUGGCUGUGGCCGACGACGUCGAAGACGCCCGGGCGCCACUUCUCCGGCACGCGGCUGACGUAGAACCAGGCGCCGGCGGCGUAGGCGAGCCCCAUGGCGACCUCGAGCGAGAGCGCCAGGUAGCAGGCGGCGUGGCCCCAGUUGAGCCACAGCGCGUGCAGCGCCGGGACGACGCCGGAGAGCCCCAUGGCGAGGAACAGCGCGGCGCGGAGACGCCGGAACCGCGGCGACGAGCAGGGCGGCGAGAGCAGCGCGCCGACGACGAGCGCGCCCAGCGCCGAGAUGGCGGAGAGGUAGGCGACGCGCGCCGGGCGGUGGCACAGGAAGGCGUAGUACACCGGCGGGACGAAGGAGGCGACGAUCAUGGCGGAGAUGCCGGCGUAGUCGAGCUGCCAGAACACCACGCUGGCGCGCCUGGAGUGGCACGCCAGCAGGUGCGCCGUCGCGCUGAUCGCCAGGCACGUCAUGGCGCCCACCAGGAACACCAUCCGCGGCCACCGCGGCACGCCGUGCCCGCCGCCCAGCACCGCCGCCGCCGCUGCCGCCGCCGCGGCGUCAUGGCUCGCCGCGCCCUGCAUCCAAUGCCACCUUCAUUCACAUCACUCGCCAGGAAGAGCAGGAACCCACCGAGAUGGCUGCAUGGCAUGCACAACAAACAAUCGGCAUGAAAAUUGAAAAGCAAAUCAUCCACCGAUGAGAUGAUGAGAAGGAGAGAUUGAAUGGAAUUGGGAGGGGGAUUGGGGGCGCGCACGUCCAGACGUUGAGGGUCUCGUUGUGCCAGGAGAAGGCGCUGAGGGCGGCGUCGCGGAGGGGCCACUCGGCGCGGUAGUAGCCGCGGAUGAACUCGUUGUCGC
This 947-nucleotide small RNA is filed under the name Oryza sativa Japonica Group (Japanese rice). RNAcentral describes it as "sRNA Os02g0179450". The record is from RNAcentral. Lineage: Eukaryota; Viridiplantae; Streptophyta; Magnoliopsida; Poales; Poaceae.